RNAcentral lists this ribosomal RNA (496 nucleotides) under uncultured bacterium. RNAcentral describes it as "partial 16S ribosomal RNA". It matches the Rfam family "Bacterial small subunit ribosomal RNA", at positions 29 to 507 of the family's 1533-position model. The record is from RNAcentral.
AUGCACGCUGGCGGCGUGCCUAAUCCAUGCACGUCGCGCGAACAGACGAGGAGCUUGCUCCUCUGACGUUAGCGGCGGACGGGUGAGUAACACGUGGAUAACCUACCUAUAAGACUGGGAUAACUUCGGGAAACCGGAGCUAAUACCGGAUAAUAUAUUGAACCGCAUGGUUCAAUAGUGAAAGACGGUUUUGCUGUCACUUAUAGAUGGAUCCGCGCCGCAUUAGCUAGUUGGUAAGGUAACGGCUUACCAAGGCAACGAUGCGUAGCCGACCUGAGAGGGUGAUCGGCCACACUGGAACUGAGACACGGUCCAGACUCCUACGGGAGGCAGCAGUAGGGAAUCUUCCGCAAUGGGCGAAAGCUUGACGGAGCAACGCCGCGUGAGUGAUGAAGGUCUUCGGAUCGUAAAACUCUGUUAUUAGGGAAGAACAAAUGUGUAAGUAACUAUGCACGUCUUGACGGUACCUAAUCAGAAAGCCACGGCUAACUACGUG